CAUUGUAAGAAGGGUUGCUUAUAUGAGAGCAUACAGUACAUCUGAAACUGCUGAGGCUGGGAAGGUUUUUGACUAUAUUACCGACCAGAUCAGCUGCUAUAAAAGACAAACUGAAAUCUGAGUGCAGAGACAAGCAAAGGAAUACUGCAAGGCUCUGGUGCAAAAUAUUGUAUGCCAGGAGUCAGGACGACUAGGCUGUGCCCAGGUCUCCGGAACCUGCGACGACGCUCAGCUCCAUCAGCC
Long non-coding RNA from Sinocyclocheilus anshuiensis, 243 nucleotides. RefSeq lists it as uncharacterized. NCBI's taxonomy places the organism in Eukaryota, Metazoa, Chordata, Actinopteri, Cypriniformes, Cyprinidae. The record is from RefSeq and is a predicted model, not a curated record. The transcript has 3 exons.